AUUGAACGCUAGCGGGAUGCUUUACACAUGCAAGUCGAACGGAGUGGCGAACGGGUGAGUAAUGUAUCGGAACGUGCCCAGUCGCGGGGGAUACCUCAGCGAAAGGGUAGCUAAUCCGCCAUACUAUUGAAGCGGCCGAUAUCGGAUUAGCUAGUGGGUGGGGGAAGGGCUCACCAAGGCGACGAUCCGUAGCUGGUUUGAGAGGACGACCAGCCACACUGGGACUGAGACACGGCCCAGACUCCUACGGGAGGCAGCAGUGGGGAAUUUUGGACAAUGGGGGCAACCCUGAUCCAGCCAUCCCGCGUGUGCGAUGAAGGCCUUCGGGUUGUAAAGCACUUUUGGCAGGAAAGCGGUACCUGCAGAAUAAGCACCGGCUAACUACGUGCCAGCAGCCGCGGUAAUUC
RNAcentral lists this ribosomal RNA (407 nucleotides) under uncultured bacterium. RNAcentral's name for it is "partial 16S ribosomal RNA". It matches the Rfam family "Bacterial small subunit ribosomal RNA", at positions 30 to 526 of the family's 1533-position model. The record is from RNAcentral.